This 76-nucleotide transfer RNA is filed under the name Candidatus Omnitrophota bacterium. RNAcentral's name for it is "tRNA-Thr". It matches the Rfam family "tRNA". From Rfam's summary of the family: Transfer RNA (tRNA) molecules are approximately 80 nucleotides in length. Their secondary structure includes four short double-helical elements and three loops (D, anti-codon, and T loops). Further hydrogen bonds mediate the characteristic L-shaped molecular structure. tRNAs have two regions of fundamental functional importance: the anti-codon, which is responsible for specific mRNA codon recognition, and the 3' end, to which the tRNAs corresponding amino acid is attached (by aminoacyl-tRNA synthetases). tRNAs cope with the degeneracy of the genetic code in two manners: having more than one tRNA (with a specific anti-codon) for a particular amino acid; and 'wobble' base-pairing, i.e. permitting non-standard base-pairing at the 3rd anti-codon position. The record is from RNAcentral. Lineage: Bacteria; Pseudomonadati; Candidatus Omnitrophota.
GCUAGCAUAGCUCAGCAGGUAGAGCAAUGGUUUUGUAAACCAUAGGUCGAGGGUUCGAUUCCUUCUGCUAGCUCCA